RNAcentral lists this unclassified non-coding RNA (280 nucleotides) under uncultured fungus. RNAcentral's name for it is "partial contains small subunit ribosomal RNA, internal transcribed spacer 1, and 5.8S ribosomal RNA". The stretch from base 1 to 73 matches the Rfam family "Eukaryotic small subunit ribosomal RNA", at positions 1759 to 1831 of the family's 1831-position model. The record is from RNAcentral. Lineage: Eukaryota; Fungi.
GCAAACUUGGUCAUUUAGAGGAAGUAAAAGUCGUAACAAGGUCUCCGUUGGUGAACCAGCGGAGGGAUCAUUAUAGAGUUUUCUAAACUCCCAACCCAUGUGAACUUACCUUUUGUUGCCUCGGCAGAGGUUACCUGGUACCUGGAGACAGGUUACCCUGUAGCAACUGCCGGUGGACUACUAAACUCUUGUUAUUUUAUGUAAUCUGAGCGUCUUAUUUUAAUAAGUCAAAACUUUCAACAACGGAUCUCUUGGUUCUGGCAUCGAUGAAGAACGCAGC